Molecule: ribosomal RNA, 547 nt
Filed under: uncultured Glomus
Lineage: Eukaryota; Fungi; Glomeromycota; Glomeromycetes; Glomerales; Glomeraceae
Description: SSU rRNA
Rfam family: Eukaryotic small subunit ribosomal RNA
Source: RNAcentral
UUGGAGGGCAAGUCUGGUGCCAGCAGCCGCGGUAAUUCCAGCUCCAAUAGCGUAUAUUAAAGUUGCUGCAGUUAAAAAGCUCGUAGUUGAAUUUCGGGACUAAUAUGUCGGUCGUGCCUCGGUACGUACUGGCUUAUUGGUUUCUCCUUUCUGAAGAACCAUGAUGUCAUUUAUUUGGUGUCGUGGGGAAUCAGGACUGUUACUUUGAAAAAAUUAGAGUGUUUAAGGCAGGCUCACGCUUGAAUACAUUAGCAUGGAAUAAUGAAAUAGGACGUUUGAUUCUAUUUUGUUGGUUUCUAGGAUCGACGUAAUGAUUAAUAGGGAUAGUUGUGGGCAUUAGUAUUCAAUUGUCAGAGGUGAAAUUCUUGGAUUUAUUGAAGACUAACUACUGCGAAAGCAUUUGCCAAGGAUGUUUUCAUUAAUCAAGAACGAAAGUUAGGGGAUCGAAGACGAUCAGAUACCGUCGUAGUCUUAACCAUAAACUAUGCCGACUAGGGAUCGGAUGAUGUUAAUUUUUUAAUGACUCAUUCGGCGCCUUACGGGAAAC